This is a long non-coding RNA of Hemicordylus capensis (graceful crag lizard), 829 nucleotides long. RefSeq lists it as uncharacterized. The record is from RefSeq and is a predicted model, not a curated record. NCBI's taxonomy places the organism in Eukaryota, Metazoa, Chordata, Lepidosauria, Squamata, Cordylidae. The transcript is spliced from 2 exons.
GGGUGUGCGUCGUGUGCAUGUUCACACAUGAUGCAGGGCGGCGGCUGGGGGCGAGGAAGUCUUGCGGUAUCUCAGCGGCUAACUCGAUGUCAACUUCCUUGGGAGUAAGGAGCCACUUCACACAGCCAGACUUGCUUCCGAGUAGACAUGCACGGGGUCGGGCUGCAAGGUUAAUCUGGCACUGUGGAGAAGGAGUCUGGUGCAGUAGCCAAGAACCCGACAACCUGUUGACAGGAGCUGGAAAUUGGAAAAGGAAGAUGGUAUAUCAUGUUGAUCAUCUUGUCGUGCUCUGGGAGGAGGGCAAGCCGGCACCAAAAGCCAGUCUUUUAGCUUGCAACUGUUCUAGGAAGCCUGUUCUGCCAAAAUGUGUCUGUGUGGCCAAUGGACUUAAGUGCACCGAUAUUUGCUGAAUCCAAGACUGUAACAACCAGGCAUCAGUUCUGGACAGUGACAACAGUGGUGGUAUUUUGCUUGAGCUGGAUGGUGAUGAAGAUUAUUGGCUUGAUAUUAUAUGGACCUGUAUCAGUUAAGCGACAACUGUAAACACUGAAUUUAAAAUGAUAUUUUGACUUUUAUUACUGUAUUUACCUUAAUCCAAGACUAUGUCAUUUCCAAAUUCUUUGACAUUAGAAAUGGGGUUUGGGGUGCUGUUUUCAAUCCGGGUCCUCUUCCUUUUGCGUAAACAGUAUAAUCUGCAUUUAACCCAUAUUUUUAAGGGGGCUCAUCUUCCAUUCGGAGUUCUCUUCUGUUUGGGUAAAUACAGGUAAAUGCUGUUAUAUUUGGGUAAAUGCUGUUAUAUUUUAUUGCUAAUUAAAUGCACUUAAGAGUA